RNAcentral lists this unclassified non-coding RNA (1251 nucleotides) under Hevea brasiliensis (rubber tree). Lineage: Eukaryota; Viridiplantae; Streptophyta; Magnoliopsida; Malpighiales; Euphorbiaceae. The record is from RNAcentral.
GUAAGUUAUAAUUAAAAUUAGAAGACAGAAAGCUAAUGACUGAAGCAGUCAAAAGUUUAAUAUUCUAAAGGAAAUAUAAUUUCCUUCUCUAUUCCCAUUGAUAAUUUAGAAUAUUCAGUUUACCAAAGUACUCUUAAUUCAAAAUAAAAAUCAUGUGUGGUAUCAUGAGCCUUCAAGAGAGAUUAUUCAAUAUACCAAGUGCAUUACAAAUAGGUACACCGUUUCUCACUUUCAUAUGGAACCCGGUUUCCACAUUUUCAGGUGAACUCCAUAUGUUAACGUGCAUCAAAUGCAUUCAAUAAUUUCUAACCCUUCAAGCCCCCCUUAAGUCCAUCCCUUCUUUUUGGUCUAAUGGACUAUCUUCUGUCAAUGUUUUUAAUGUAAUUUUGUUGAUUUCUUCUUGUGAAAAUGAGUUUCUUUCUUUCCACUUGGUUGCAUGACUUGUUGCCCUUGACUGGAAUUUUAACUUAUAAAAAGUGAGUGUAUGUGCACGAUUAUAUUUAUGCAUAUGUCUGGUUCAAUGGCCACACUAUCAAGAUAGCCCAUUCCCAUUCCAUGAAUCUCAUCCUAUUAUUCUAAGAGCUCAAACCUUCGUCCAAAGUAGGUGUAUAACUAUAUAUGCAUAUAGAAACAGAAAUUAGUUAGCAUCUUUCAAUGUCUCGACUACUGCAUUACUUCAAUCACAAAUAACCUUGUUUCUUUCAUUGUCUCACCUACUUCAUUAUCUUCAACCACAACCAUAUACAAUACAAAACGGUCUCAGCAAAAUGACAAAUAAUACACCAGCCACAUCUGGAUCAUGCAAUGAUCCCUAAUCCCCUCCGGUAAUAAGUGUCUCUAUUGGGUACAUCAUUUUUCAUUAACCUCUUAUACGAAACUUGGAAAAACCCAUAAUAAAUUACACAACAUAGGGCCUUAAAAGAACAUGGAGCAGCUUCAUAAAGCUACUUCAAUCAACAGGUGCUGGAACUUUAAAGUUCGAUUACAUCAAUAGAACAUAACGAAUAGUUGUACUUGAUCAACAAAAUGAAAUGAAAUUAGAGAAAUCAAAGAGUAAAGAGAGGAGUAAUUUGUAAUAUACACAUACCUGGGGGUUUCUUCAUGGGUAUGCUGGACUUUUGUUGUUUGGGUUUUGCCAUUUUAUAGCUUUUGAAUAGCUAGAGGCACUGGAGAUUUCUGUGGGUUCUCUGGCUCGGACAAGAGAGCGAGGGAGGCAGGGAAGGGCAUUAUAGCAUAUGGAAAGCAAAAUAG